Molecule: non-coding RNA, 186 nt
Organism: Octopus bimaculoides (California two-spot octopus)
Lineage: Eukaryota; Metazoa; Mollusca; Cephalopoda; Octopoda; Octopodidae
Source: Rfam
AUCGCUUCUCGGCCUUUUGGCUAAGAUCAAAAUGUAGUAUCUGUUCUUAUCAGCUGAUACGGCCCCUAUUUGGGGUCAUCGAUAUUAAACUGUUUUUUAGAACGAGGCGAAGUGUUAGGGGCUUGCUCCGCUUUUGCGACAGGUUGGCCUGGUAUAGCAGUACUUCCAGGAUUCAGCCCAUAUUCA